Molecule: ribosomal RNA, 441 nt
Filed under: uncultured bacterium
Lineage: Bacteria
Description: partial 16S ribosomal RNA
Rfam family: Bacterial small subunit ribosomal RNA
Source: RNAcentral
CCUACGGGAGGCAGCAGUGGGGGAUAUUGCACAAUGGGGGGAACCCUGAUGCAGCGACGCCGCGUGGGUGAAGGAGUGCUUCGGCACGUAAAGCCCUAUCGGCAGGGAAGAAGCAAGACGGUACCUGACUCAGAAGCCCCGGCUAACUACGUGCCAGCAGCCGCGGUAAUACGUAGGGGGCGAGCGUUAUCCGGAUUCACUGGGUGUAAAGGGAGCGUAGACGGCCAAGCAAGCCAGGGGUGAAAGCCCGGGGCCCAACCCCGGGACUGCCCUUGGAACUGCAUGGCUGGAGUGCGGGAGGGGCAGGCGGAAUUCCUGGUGUAGCGGUGAAAUGCGUAGAUAUCAGGAGGAACACCGGCGGCGAAGGCGGCCUGCUGGACCGCGACUGACGUUGAGGCUCGAAAGCGUGGGGAGCGAACAGGAUUAGAUACCCGGGUAGUC